This is a long non-coding RNA of Arabidopsis thaliana (thale cress), 272 nucleotides long. RefSeq annotates it as other RNA. The record is from RefSeq. The transcript has a single exon. Lineage: Eukaryota; Viridiplantae; Streptophyta; Magnoliopsida; Brassicales; Brassicaceae.
AAACAAUGUGAAAACAUAUCAUACCUUUUGUUCUUUUUAAUAUAAUAAUUGAAUUACUAAAUGGAUGGAUCAGUCCUUCUUCCAUAGCUAGCUUCUCUUUAUUUUCUCUGCCCAUAACCUGCAGAAAAUCUCUUUAACCGAGCAAAAUUACAAGAGUAACCAAACAAACAAAAUAGGACCAUCAGAGAGAGAGAAAAGAGUGCCUUUUUUUGGACCUGCCCAUUAGCUUAGAAUGUACCAUGAAACACUUUGUCAGUGUAGGGAGAUAGGCA